AAACGUUCUCAUCCAACAAAAGAAAACAGAGGUAACCAAGUUUUUAGAUGACAGAGCAAAGAUGGUUCCACUCUCCUUUUUUCAAGAAUCGCUCCAAAACAAUAAAGAGAAUGAGAAACAAUAGUGAAACCCAUAUUCUAUAAGGGCAGGAGACAUCUGUAAUCUGGAACUGCAAUGGAUGAAGAUGAGAAACCGAUGGAGGAAUGGGAGCCACUUAUUAGAUCUCUGGAAAGUCAAACCCAAGAGCCAGGAGGUGAUACCAUUGUGAAUCAGGCUGACUUCCCACUGCGGAAAACAGGGAAGUCUGGAGAGUUGACAGAUCCACAUACUGCAUUGAUCAGAAGUGAACAUGGAACUGAAAACAGCCCUGUAGUAGAAAGAUAAUAACACCAGGUACCAUUUGUGGUGCACCUUUUCUUCCUCUUUACAAACAUUCUCUCAUGCAAUCCUCAUGACAACAGCAAAAGGUAUUAUUUCCCUCCUUUUAUGGAUGCAAAAUCUAAGGCUCAGAGGGAAAAAGUCUUUUGUCCCAGAUUGCAAAGAGAGAAUAAGACACUGCAUCAAUGUAUGUAUCCUUAAUUCCAAAGCCCUACCACUAGACCCCACCACCUCUCUGGGUAAAACCGAGCCAUGAGUGCCCAGUGUACCCAUGCUGAAUAGGUGGCCAGGGUGACAUAUGCCUGGCAAUGGUGAUGGCAGGGACU
RNAcentral lists this long non-coding RNA (704 nucleotides) under Homo sapiens (human). RNAcentral's name for it is "HSALNT0101714". Lineage: Eukaryota; Metazoa; Chordata; Mammalia; Primates; Hominidae. The record is from RNAcentral.